Neoarius graeffei (lesser salmon catfish) is the source of this 6594-nucleotide RNA transcript. It is a transcript of the gene named neuralized E3 ubiquitin protein ligase 1Aa, with no coding region annotated. The transcript is spliced from 7 exons. The record is from RefSeq and is a predicted model, not a curated record. Lineage: Eukaryota; Metazoa; Chordata; Actinopteri; Siluriformes; Ariidae.
GUCCGAGUGUUUACACGAGUCAGAGCUGUGCUUGUGUGCGCGCGUGCGGGAGUGAGAGAGCGAGAGUGAGCAUGCGUCGCUGUGGGAUCGCUGCCGCUGCCGCGCGACACAUUGAGAAAUAAAUCCGAAGACCGAGAGGAGCGACCGGCGUCCAGCUAUGGGAGGCCAAAUCACCCGUAACGCCUUGUAUGAUUCUCUGGGUGGCCCAUUCCCUCCAUCCUCUCACCGAUGCCACCAGAAGCCAAAGCGCUGCUUGCCCUUACAGCCGUGCAUGGGCGUCCCCGUCAGCCCGCUGCUCUUCCACCCCAGCGCCAAGGGCUCACAGAUCAUCAUGGACAUGGGCCAGAGGACGGUCAAAAGACAAGCCAGCUUUUGCAACGCUAUCACCUUCAGCAACAGACCCAUCGCCCUGUAUGAACAGGUCCGCCUCAAGAUCACGAAGAAGCAGUGCUGUUGGAGUGGUGCCCUGCGCCUGGGCUUCACCUCCAAAGACCCAUCACGCAUCAACCCAGACAGCUUGCCCAAGUACGCAUGCCCAGACCUGGUGUCUCAGAACGGUUUCUGGGCUAAAGCACUACCAGAGGAACUAGCCAAUGAGGGCAACCUCGUCGCCUUCUGGGUGGACAAGAAAGGCCGAGUCUUCUACCGCGUCAAUGGCUCCAGUCCCAUGCUAUUCUUCAGCGGUGUGCGCACCGCCGAUUCCCUCUGGGCACUCAUCGAUGUCUAUGGCCUGACUCGAGGAGUCCAGCUGCUCGAUAGUGAGAUCAUCCCUCCAGACUGUCUCCGUCCACGCUCCUUCACUGCAGUACGAGGCUCCUCAUCCCUGCGACGUGAGGCGGAGUCCUCCCGCCUGUCCGUCAGCCUCUGCGACCUCAACCUAGCACGAGACGAGGCCAGACUCCGCCUGCCAUCCACAUCCAUCACCACCUCCCGCCCCAUUCCACAGAAUUCUCUGAACUCGUUCCUCCCAGCCGCCCUGGAAAGCGAGCUGCGUUUCCAUCCACUGCGUGGCAGCCACCUCAAAGCCGUGGACGAGCAGACAGUGGCACGCUGCAGUCACGGGCAUGAAGAAGAGGGCACACUGGUGUUCACCGAGCGCCCAAUGCGCCUCUCAGAGACCAUCUACAUCACAGUGAGCAAGUCAAGCCUGGCUCGCUCAUGCUCACUCUCCUACGGUGUGACCUCGUGUGACCCCGCCACGCUGCGCCCAAUGGAGCUUCCCUCUAACCCAGAGGAGCUGGUGGAUCGCAAGGAAUUCUGGGCUGUGUGCAAGGUGCCCUCUUCGCUCCACUCUGGAGAUGUCCUGAGCUUCCUGCUCACACAGGAAGGAGAGUUGAUCCUGAGCCAGAACGGCACCAGUGCAGGCAUGCAGGCAUGUGUCGAUAACUCCCGCCCACUUUGGAUGUUCUUUGGGCUGCAUGGUGCCAUCACGCAACUAAGGAUUUUGGGCUCUAUCCACCCAAGCGAUACUCAAGGCCCAUCCAGCCCGAGCUCACCCUCUUCUUCCUCACCUCACUCUCUGGGAGCAGGACUGUGCAGUGGCAGCUCAGAGCCAACGAUAAACGCAGGCUGCUCUGGAGCGUUCUGCACCUCCAUCACAGGAACAAGCCCAAGCUCACCCAUCCACCUCUCCAAGUCCCCCACCUUCCCAUCAUCCUCCAGCUCCUGGCUGGAUGAGUGCUCCAUCUGCUACGAGAACGCAGUGGACACGGUUAUCUAUGCGUGUGGUCACAUGUGCCUGUGCUACAGCUGCGGCCUGCGCCUCAAAAAGAUGGCCAACGCCUGCUGUCCGAUCUGCAGGAGGGCUAUUAAAGACAUUAUAAAGACCUACCGGAGCACAUAGAAGCCACUUCUGUAAUCCACCAUGCGAUGGCCCAGGAGGGCUAAAACAAAAGACACAUAAUGAGACCCUUACAUAUGGGAAAGAGGUUUCUGGUUCAGGGACAUACUUCAUGGCCUUUCAUGGUUCCCAUGGUGAUGAAUUUGAACCUUUAAAGGCUCAAGCAUCCAUCCGCAAAAAGGUCUCUUACAGUUUCAUGAGCAAGGCUUUGUUGCUAUGGUAACCAGUCGUGACGCUGCUCAGGAAAGGAGGCUUCUGACUAAAGCUCUCCACAGGAGAUGCGAAUCUGUAAAUAGCCUCAAGCAAAUCAGGAAGUUCCAGGAGACAUUAAUGUCUGAAAUGUUAAUAUCUCCAUCUUAUUUUCAACACUUUCAACUCUUUUUGAGCCAUAAGAGACUGGAAGAGUCUCGUCUGUUUGCAGAAGUGGAAAGCUGGAAACCGUAUUGACCGUAUGAAAGAUACAAAAAUGGAUCUUUUUUUUUUUCCUUCAACCUGUUGGCUGCCCUUAAAAACUCACUUUUCUGUCAGAUUCAUGUUCGAUGUUUCAGUGUCCCAGUUUCUGUCUGUGUACAGCUGACAUUAAGUGAGAGAGAAAACAAACACACAUGUACAGUAUGCCCCAAGCCUCGUGCUCUCAGAGUUAAUGCUUAAGCUACUAUUCUGAAUAACUUGCUAAUGCUACGUGCUUUGAAGUCAGUGUUGAUGUACUGAAUUGAUGAAAGGACCUUCAAGCACUGAUGACAGUACAAUGCUGUGUUAAGCAAUGUAAUGUGAAUCCUCGGUUCCCUGCUGAAACACACAGAAAUUCCACGUGAGAAGCUGGUGCUGCUGGUGUAUUACGGACGUGCCUGAUUAUUUGAACUCCUGUUAAUCAUGGCUUACUUUAUCAGGUGUUUAAAUAAGAUCUGAGUGGGAUAAAUUUGAAAUAAAUCGAGUAUUAUGGCAUUUUUAAGCUAAGCAUAAGUGUGAAAUAGGCAAAAUUACAGCUUCUAAGUAGCGACAUGGAGUUAGCUACACUUAGCUACCAGCGAUGUCUGUCACGCGACUAUUAUGAUGAUGUUAUACUAGUGUACUUAAAUAAUGUACUGUUAACAGGACCACACGUUAUAACAGCAUUAUUAGAAAGUCAAAGAUAUUUUUUUGUAAGUGGCAAAUAAGCUGGUUGCUCUGCUGAUGUUUCCUGUGGAGGUUUGAUACGUGUGGUGGUUUUGGGAAACCCCAGCAGUUAUCACUGUGGCUGUGAGUUCUGGUCAAAAAUCAGGUUCAGAAUCAACUUUUUGUUUUGUUUUGUUUUUUAGAAACCAUUAAUAUAUUUCACCAAAAUGACAUGGAAAUGUUUUUAUUUGCUUUCUAAUCUGUUUGGAUAUCUUCCUGCAGAAGCUAAAUCACAGAAGCUAAUGAGCCACUUUAACCCGAACCCUAACCCAAGGAGGCAAUGAGUCAUUUGUCUAGAAUUAAAAUGGAUUUUUGGGGGGUUAGCACCAUUUGAUUUACACAACAUGCCUACCACUUUAAAGGUGAAAAUUGUUGUUUUAUUGUGACACAAACAAUAAUUAAGAUGAAAAAACAGAAAUCUGGAGUGUGCAUAGGUAUUCACCCCCCAAAGUCAAUACUUCGUAGAGCCACCUUUUGCUGCAAUUACAGCUGCAAGUCUCUUGGGGUAUGUCUCUAUUAGCUUAGCACAUCUAGCCACUGGGAUUUUUGCCCAUUCCUCAAGGCAACACUGCUCCAACUCCUUCAAGUUAGAUGGGUUGCGUUGGUGUACAGCAAUCUUCAAGUUAUGCCACAGAUUCUCAAUUGGAUUGAGGUCUGGGCUUUGAUUAGGCCAUUCCAAGACAUUUACAUGUUUCUCUUUAAACCACUCCAGUGUAGCUUUAGCAGUAUGUUUACGGUCAUUGUCCUGCUGGAAUGUGAACCUUCGUCCAAGUCUCAAAUCUCUGGCCGACUCAAACAGGUUUUCCUCCAGAACUGCCCUGUAUUUAGUGCCAUCCAUCUUUCCUUCAGCUUUCCUGUCCCUGCAGAUGAAAAACAUCCCCACAGCAUGAUGCUGCCACCACCAUGCUUCACUGUAGGAAUGGCGUUCUCAGGGUGUUGGGUUUGCACCACACAUGGUAUUUCCCAUGAUGGCCAAAAAGUUCAGUUUUACACUACGUUCAGACUGCAACCUGAAACGACCCAUAUCCGAUUUGUUGUGAAAUACGAUUUUUUUUGUUAGGCCGGUCACAUUACCAAUUAUAUGAGACUUGUAUGCGAUCUCCAAUAUGAACGGAAAACGACCCAAAAGUGUCCCGCAUGCGCAAAUUGACACGUAAUAAGCACAUCUACGUAAUACGUAAACCAAAAAAAGGCGCACUCUUCAUGUUUAAUGAUUUCUUUUUUGUUUGUUUGUUUAAUUAUCUGGUUAGUGUUAAAGUGUGAGGUCUCGUGUGUGUUUUUGUUUCUGAACUGAAAUGAAAACGUGUAGCCUGGUAACGAGGGUUGACUCCUAAAUGUCUCUCUAAUUUCUAUAUAAGUGCACUACAUGUUACUAGGAAGUAAUGGAUUUUUAAACUCUAUAUAGUGCACUCGAGCUUCAGUAGGCAGUCAUUUGGGAUACGGCUGCUGUAUUACCAAACUCUUAAUUCAGGCUUAAUAAUUUGCAUAUAUUUAUUUCGUCAUAUUAAUAAACUUUUUCUACAUUUUUAUAAAUAUUUGUUUAGAUUGUUUAUAGCCAGCUGAAUUCUGUAACUUCUCUCAUAGCUGGCUCAAGGUGCAGAAACACCAGUGCAGUUUGCUAUCACCGGAUCCAGUGUAAAUAGCUGCCGGAGCCAACGUCCGAGGUUCCGGAGCGCGCUCCGGCUUGCUCCCCCUCAAAUUAAGCCCAGAUUAGCUUGAUCAAUUCUAUAAAAGUCUAUUUAAAUUCUGAAAACUGUACAAACGUUGUUGUUUUCCACCAAAGAGGCGGGAUUAGCCAACGCAGAAUAGUGACGUUUGCCUCUUGUUGACAUGUAGGUCGCAUGAAUGCGACCUGUCCAGUCAGACUGCAGUCACAUGUGAAAAUAUCGGAUAUGCAUCGGAUUUAGGACCACAUAUCCAAGCGGCCUGGGUUGCAUGUGAAAAAAUCGGAUCUGUGUCGUUCAGAUUGUCAAUAACAAAUCGGAUACAGGUCGCAUAUGGGCAAAAAAAUCGGAUAUGGGUCGUUUCAGGGUGCAGUCUGAACGUAGUCCUAGUCUCAUCUGACCAGAGAAUCUUCUUCCAUGCUGUUGGGCAAACUCCAGAUAUGUUUUCUUAAGCAAUGGCUUUUUUCUGGCCACUCUUCCAUAAAGCCCCGCUCUGUGGAGUGUAUGGCUUAAAGUGGUCCUCUGGACAGAUACUCCCAUCUCCGCUGUGGAUCUUUGCAGCUCCUUCAGUGUUAUCUUUGGUGUCUUUGUUGCGUCUCUGAUUAAUGCCCUCCUUGCCUGGUCUGUGAGUUUUGGUGGGUGGCCUUCUCUUGUCAGGUUUGUAGUGGUGCCAUAUUCUUUCCAUUUUGCUAUAAUGGAUUUAAUGGUGCUCCAUGGGAUAUUCAAAGUUUGGGAUAUUUUUUAUAACCCAACCCUGAUCUAUAUUUCUCCACAACUUUGUCUCUGACCUGUUUGGAGGCUCCUUGGUUCUCAUGUUGCUUGCUUAGUAGUGUUGCAGAGUCAGGGUCCUUCCAGAACAGCUUGAUUUAUACAGACAUCUUGUGACAGAUCAUGUGACACUUUGCACACAGGUGGAUCUUAAUCAACUAAUUAUGUGACUUAUGAAGUGAAUUGGUUGCACCAGCUCUUAUUUAGGGGUUUCAUACGAAAGGGGGUGCUCAUUUUAAUUAUUGUUUGUGUCACAUUAAAAAAAAAAAAAAAAAACAGUUUUCACCUUUAAAGUGGUCGACAUGUUGUAUAAAUCAAAUGGUGCUAACCCUCCAAAAAUCCAUUUUAAUUUCAGCUUGUAAUGCGACAAAACAGGACAAACACCAAGGGGGAUGAAUCCCAUUGGUUUGACUGAGAGGUGGGCGUCGUUAAUAGUAGAGGGAUUAUGGUAGCUCUCUAGAAUUGUUCCAUUAAUUAUUAAAUGUUAGAGUGGAAAAAAAGGCUAGGAAUGUAAAUUCAUCUAAAUGGCUGAAGUGCCCUUGAGCAAGGAUAAGGACGUCUGUAAUGUAAUGUAAUGUAACAUAAGGUAGGCCAUGCAGAAAUGCACGUGGCCUGGAUUGACAGCUCUUGAAGCAACACUUUUACAGUGAACUCAGGGUUACUAUCUACUGUAAAUGUCAUGCUUUGAAUACGUUGCAGGAUAGUUUUAUAGUGAAAUGGACAUAACCCUAAUCGAUUCUGUUUGGAAUCGGAUACUGACUGUCAGAAUGUCCGUGAUGCUGUUGCGCUGUAGUCGGAAUGAAAAGCUAUCUUUCCUUUUCCACUUUUGUAAAUAAGUAGAUUUGUUCAGAAUAACACAGAGAAGAAAAUAUCACAAUGAAGGGUUUUCCGUGCCACCACAGAUAAUCAAACACAAUGCAGGGUUUUUUUUUUUUUUUUAAAGUUUGCCUUUUAUAUAGGAUUUUUGAAAUUGGAAAUUCUUAGAGUUCUUAAAUCCAGAGUCCACGUCUACAUCAGUUUGGAACGAUUACAUGGUAGUUAUGACUGCACACAGUAAAUGAUAAGGUUAUAUUAGACCUUAUAAUCUCAUCUCAUUAUCUGUAGCCGCUUUAUCCUUCUACAGGGUCGCAGGCAAGCUGGAGCCUAUCCCAGCUGACUACGGGCGAA